GGAAAAGCCUGCUGGCCCCUGGCCUAGAGGAAGCAUAGUCAAAGGUCCUGGGCCAAGAGCAAAAAAGCCAUUUCCUUGCUGAAAGCCCACUGCCACAGGACACAGGACGGAGCAGAGGCGGGAAGGCCUCCCGCGCCACUUCCUCCCCAGAAGCCCCUCCAUUGCAUGAAGGGCUUUACUGACAACUGCCCUUGCAGGGAACGCUGUUCUCUGCUACAAUAAGUGGGUCUUUCUCGGAGUCUAAGGGACCACUAGAAGACACCAGUGCCCGGGUUCCAUUCGUACCCAGGCAGGUUCAGCCUGACGCCCCCAGAAGCUCCAUCCUGCAGUGAAGAAUGCUGGUUCCUUCCACUUCACAGAAGCAAGUGCAGCCCAGAGUCUGGCAGGGUGGCUCUGGGGGCAGAGUGUUUGCCUAGCCUGCAGGAAGCCCUGUGUUGGAACCCCAGCACUGCCUAAACCGGGUUCAGUGCUACAAGCCUGUAAGCCCAGCACCAGGCAGGCGGAGGAGCCAGGAAGGUGAAGAGUUCAGGAUCAUCCUCCCUACUUCAAAGUUUCAACUUUUAUGGACACAUAAAAUAUAAGCCCAGUAAUAAAGCGCCUAUGGCUUAUAAAUAAAUAAGAAUGCGUCUCUGAAACGUUUUCCUGAAAGGGAGGAAUUGCCCCCUCUUCUCUGGAUCGCUGCACCUCGGCGCCUCCCAGUCAGUAGA
Molecule: long non-coding RNA, 707 nt
Organism: Alexandromys fortis (reed vole)
Lineage: Eukaryota; Metazoa; Chordata; Mammalia; Rodentia; Cricetidae
Exons: 3
Source: RefSeq, a predicted model, not a curated record